RNAcentral lists this transfer RNA (73 nucleotides) under Bos taurus (domestic cattle). It matches the Rfam family "tRNA". Rfam says of the family: Transfer RNA (tRNA) molecules are approximately 80 nucleotides in length. Their secondary structure includes four short double-helical elements and three loops (D, anti-codon, and T loops). Further hydrogen bonds mediate the characteristic L-shaped molecular structure. tRNAs have two regions of fundamental functional importance: the anti-codon, which is responsible for specific mRNA codon recognition, and the 3' end, to which the tRNAs corresponding amino acid is attached (by aminoacyl-tRNA synthetases). tRNAs cope with the degeneracy of the genetic code in two manners: having more than one tRNA (with a specific anti-codon) for a particular amino acid; and 'wobble' base-pairing, i.e. permitting non-standard base-pairing at the 3rd anti-codon position. RNAcentral also lists the same sequence under 1 other name. The record is from Rfam by way of RNAcentral. Lineage: Eukaryota; Metazoa; Chordata; Mammalia; Artiodactyla; Bovidae.
UCCCUGGUGGCCCAGUGGUUAAGAUACUGUACUCCCAAUGCAGGGGACCCAGCUUCAAUCCCUGAUCAGGGAA